RNAcentral lists this long non-coding RNA (1253 nucleotides) under Sarcophilus harrisii (Tasmanian devil). RNAcentral describes it as "lncRNA (ENSSHAG00000014534.2)". The record is from RNAcentral. Lineage: Eukaryota; Metazoa; Chordata; Mammalia; Dasyuromorphia; Dasyuridae.
GGUCUAUUCCUAUUGUGUUUUCAAUAACUAUUGUUUCACUUCAUUUUUCUGUGGUUUCAGUUUUGUUCAAAUCUUGAGAUAAUAUUGUUUUCAAUAAAUCGGUAGUGCCAAAGUGAUGUGCCAUACAAUAACAAAUCAGUAAACAAAUAUGCUAAUGCAAUCAAUAACAUACAGUGCUACUAUGGAGCAAGAUAGAAGCCGUAAACAACAAUUAGCACAUGAAGAGGAGAGUUGUGCACUUGAAAAACCUGCAAAACAAAAGAGUUUUAAAUUAGAACAGAGUGUCAGUCCUUUACUUCAAUGUGGCAGAAAGUUAUCUUCAGAUUAUUCCUCGAAUGGUGAUGUUGACAUCUUUUACGCUGAUCCCUCCUCUCACACAGGAAUAAGGAUUACAAUAAGAAGACCAUUAAAUUCCAAGACAGAGGAUCCAGAAAGACAGAAAAUGUUGGAAGAUAUGAAAACUGUAGAAAAGAAAGUAGGAGUGAUUUCAAUCGCCUUUAUAAUUACUGUGUUGCUCAUUUUUGCCUUUAUAAUUUUUGUCUACUUAACCAUGGAAAAGAAGGUCGCAGGCUAGUUACAUACAGUAAGACUAGCAUGAAGACAACAAGCAAUGGGCUCCUGACUGAGUAAUGUACCACUCUCUCUUCCCUCAGUAAAAGAACUCAGAACAACUUUGGAAUUAGUAUGCUCAAGUAAAAAGCCAAAUGCAGUGACUAUGUGGUCUUCCUUUGAAAGAUUACUGCUUUAAAAAAAAAGAAAAGAAAAAAAAACACAUUAGUAGGUAAUUUAUCCAUAUGCCUAUCUCAGAAUACAAGAAAGCAAAUGGCACAGAGUAACCUUUUCAAGAUGGAGAAUAUAAUUAAGAAAUCUCUCUGUAUUCAUUAUUGUACCCACUUAAUAUGCUUCUGAAUUUUGGCAGACAUAAAAAGCAGAAUAUUGUUUUUAAAUAAGAGAAUAAGUUAUAGAUGAUAUUUCCUUUACUACUCAAAUGAUCUGAUGAAACAUACAUCUUUUAUUAAGAGCUAAUUGUGGAAUUCUUAGUCAUUUGAUCACUAAUAGUAAUAAACUUUGAUUUGCUUAAGGCAAUUUGAUCACAAAACAUCCUUAGAGAGACAUUACUAAUAUCUAUAGUUUUUGCUAAUUUCUUCUUACAAUUUAGAACUUUUAUGGCAUGAAGAGACAUUUGAAAUGAUAACAUUAAUACCCAGAAUAAAUUCCCCAAAUCAACAAUUGGGAUUCCCAAUGAAAUUUGU